RNAcentral lists this unclassified non-coding RNA (420 nucleotides) under soil metagenome. RNAcentral's name for it is "partial contains 5.8S ribosomal RNA, internal transcribed spacer 2, and large subunit ribosomal RNA". The stretch from base 1 to 119 matches the Rfam family "5.8S ribosomal RNA", at positions 36 to 154 of the family's 154-position model. The record is from RNAcentral.
AUGAAGAACGUAGCGAAAUGCGAUAAGUAAUGUGAAUUGCAGAAUUCAGUGAAUCAUCGAAUCUUUGAACGCACCUUGCGCUCCCUGGUAUUCCGGGGAGCACGCCUGUUCGAGUGUCGCGAAAUUCUUCAAGCCUUGGAUGGAUUUUUUUUGUCUGUCCUUGGGCUUGGUUGUUGGGCUCUGCCGUGUCCUUCAUUGGGACGGCUGGCCUUAAAAGCAUUAGCCGAUCCUCGUGUGGUACUGGUUCUACUCAGCGUGAUAACAAUCUGAUCGUUGAGGACAUCUUCUGGAUGGCCAGUCAUCAUUUGGGUUGCUUCUAAACCGGUUUCGCAGAUUGCUCAAUCUGUGUGCCACUUUUCAGCUUUGACCUCGAAUCAGGUGGGACUACCCGCUGAACUUAAGCAUAUCAUAAGCGGAGGA